This 522-nucleotide ribosomal RNA is filed under the name Triticum aestivum (bread wheat). RNAcentral's name for it is "partial small subunit ribosomal RNA". The record is from RNAcentral. Lineage: Eukaryota; Viridiplantae; Streptophyta; Magnoliopsida; Poales; Poaceae.
AUGUUGAGGUAUGUGGAGAACGAGCUGUUAAAGAAGAGGGGCAAGACGAUUGAGGUGAACGACAAGGACGAUAAGGACGAGGUGGAUGAGCUCUAUGUUGUGCCGGACCACCUGAAGGUCAGGAAGAAGAACAUGGAGGAGAGCUCAACCCAGUGGACCACUGGCAUCGCUGAAGUUCAGCUGCCCAUCGAGUACAAAUUGAGAAAUAUUGAAGAAACCGAGGCAGCUAAAAAGAUGUUGCAAGAGAGAAGGCUUGCGGGUAAAACAAAAUCAGAUGCAAACAUUCCAUCAAGUUACAGUGCUGAUUAUUUCCAUCGUGGGAGAGAUUAUGCUGAAAAAUUGCGAAGAGAACAUCCUGAGUUGUACAAAGGUCAAGAUUCACAAGCUAAUGAAACUGGAGGCAAACCAACAGAUGGUAACAAUCCAGGUGGUCCACCUCCUGGACGUAGAGAAGCUGCUACCGAUGAAUUGUUGCUUGAGCGUUUCCGCAAGCGAGAAAAAUUCCGUGUCAUGCGAAGAUAG